CUCGUGUCGUGAGAUGUUGGGUUAAGUCCCGCAACGAGCGCAACCCUCGCUGCUAGUUGCCAGCAUUCAGUUGGGCACUCUAGCGGAACCGCCGGUGAUAAGCCGGAGGAAGGUGGGGAUGACGUCAAGUCCUCAUGGCCCUUACGGGAUGGGCUACACACGUGCUACAAUGGCGGUGACAAUGGGCUAAUCCCCAAAAACCGUCUCAGUUCGGAUCGGGGUCUGCAACUCGACCCCGUGAAGUUGGAAUCGCUAGUAAUCGCGUAACAGCAUGACGCGGUGAAUACGUUCCCGGGCCUU
Molecule: ribosomal RNA, 300 nt
Filed under: uncultured bacterium
Lineage: Bacteria
Description: bacterial SSU rRNA
Rfam family: Bacterial small subunit ribosomal RNA
Source: RNAcentral